UUGAACGCUGGCGGCGUAGCUUAACACAUGCAAGUCGAACGCGAAAGGGACUCGGUCCUGAGUAAAGUGGCGCACGGGUGAGUAACGCGUGGAUAAUCUGCCCUUAUGAUCGGGAUAACAGUUGGAAACGGCUGCUAAUACCGGAUACGCUCAAAAUGAACUUUUUGAGGAAAGAUGGCCUCUGCUUGCAUGCUAUCACGUAAGGAUGAGUCCGCGUCCCAUUAGCUUGUUGGCGGGGUAACGGCCCACCAAGGCAACGAUGGGUAGCCGAUUUGAGAGGAUGAUCGGCCACACUGGAACUGAAACACGGUCCAGACUCCUACGGGAGGCAGCAGUGGGGAAUAUUGCGCAAUGGGCGAAAGCCUGACGCAGCGACGCCGCGUGAGGGAUUGAAGGUUUUCGGAUCGUAAACCUCUGUCAGUAAGGGAAGAAACUACGUUGUGCUAAUCAGCAGCGUACUGACGGUACCUUCAAAGGAAGCACCGGCUAACUCCGUGCCAGCCGCUGC
Molecule: ribosomal RNA, 508 nt
Filed under: uncultured bacterium
Lineage: Bacteria
Description: bacterial SSU rRNA
Rfam family: Bacterial small subunit ribosomal RNA
Source: RNAcentral